RNAcentral lists this ribosomal RNA (505 nucleotides) under uncultured bacterium. Its description in RNAcentral is "bacterial SSU rRNA". It matches the Rfam family "Bacterial small subunit ribosomal RNA", at positions 8 to 524 of the family's 1533-position model. The record is from RNAcentral.
AGAGUUUGAUCCUGGCUCAGAACGAACGUUGGCGGCGUGGAUUAGGCAUGCAAGUCGAACGAAUCCCUUGGGGGUAACUCUGAGGGGGAAGUGGCGAAAGGGGCAGUAAUGUAUGGGUAACCUACCCUGGGGUUGGGCAUAGCCGUUCUAACGAGCGGGUAAUUCCCAGCGAUUUGGCGAGCCGGCAUCGGUUUGCCAGGAAAGAAUUUCGCCUCGGGAGGGGCUCAUAUGAUAUUAGCUAGUUGGUGAGGUAACGGCUCACCAAGGCGAAGAUGUCUAGCGGGUGUGAGAGCACGACCCGCGCCACUGGCACUGAGACACUGGCCAGACACCUACGGGUGGCUGCAGUCGAGGAUCUUCGGCAAUGGGCGAAAGCCUGACCGAGCGACGCCGCGUGAGCGAAGAAGGCCUUCGGGUUGUAAAGCUCUGUCGAGGGGGAUCAAGGGAAACUUGAGUGAUCCCUGGAGGAAGCACGGGCUAAGUUCGUGCCAGCAGCCGCGGUAAG